Molecule: ribosomal RNA, 208 nt
Filed under: uncultured bacterium
Lineage: Bacteria
Description: partial 16S ribosomal RNA
Rfam family: Bacterial small subunit ribosomal RNA
Source: RNAcentral
AGCGCAGGCGGGAAGACAAGUUGGAAGUGAAAACCAUGGGCUCAACCCAUGAAUUGCUUUCAAAAACCGUUUUUCUUGAGUAGUGCAGAGGUAGAUGGAAUUCCCGGUGUAGCGGUGGAAUGCGUAGAUAUCGGGAGGAACACCAGUGGCGAAGGCGGUCUACUGGGCACCAACUGACGCUGAGGCUCGAAAGCAUGGGUAGCAAACA